GACGAACGCUGGCGGCGUGCUUAACACAUGCAAGUCGAACGGAAAGGCCCUGCUUUUGUGGGGUGCUCGAGUGGCGAACGGGUGAGUAACACGUGAGUAACCUGCCCUUGACUUUGGGAUAACUUCAGGAAACUGGGGCUAAUACCGGAUAGGAGCUCCUGCUGCAUGGUGGGGGUUGGAAAGUUUCGGCGGUUGGGGAUGGACUCGCGGCUUAUCAGCUUGUUGGUGGGGUAGUGGCUUACAAGGCUUUGACGGGUAGCCGGCCUGAGAGGGUGACCGGCCACAUUGGGACUGAGAUACGGCCCAGACUCCUACGGGAGGCAGCAGUGGGGAAUAUUGCACAAUGGGCGGAAGCCUGAUGCAGCAACGCCGCGUGCGGGAUGACGGCCUUCGGGUUGUAAACCGCUUUCGCCUGUGACGAAGCGUGAGUGACGGUAAUGGGUAAAGAAGCACCGGCUAACUACGUG
Molecule: ribosomal RNA, 467 nt
Filed under: uncultured bacterium
Lineage: Bacteria
Description: partial 16S ribosomal RNA
Rfam family: Bacterial small subunit ribosomal RNA
Source: RNAcentral